RNAcentral lists this ribosomal RNA (793 nucleotides) under bacterium. Its description in RNAcentral is "bacterial SSU rRNA". The record is from RNAcentral.
UGUAGAAGUUUGAUCMUGGCUCAGGACGAACGCYGGCGGCAUGCSUAAUACAUGCAAGUCGAACGAGCUUCCGUUGAAUGACGUGCUUGCACUGAUUUCAACAAUGAAGCGAGUGGCGAACUGGUGAGUAACACGUGGGRAAUCUGCCCAGAAGCAGGGGAUAACACUUGGAAACAGGUGCUAAUACCGUAUAACAACAAAAUCCGCAUGGAUUUUGUUUGAAAGGUGGCUUCGGCUAUCACUUCUGGAUGAUCCCGCGGCGUAUUAGUUAGUUGGUGAGGUAAAGGCCCACCAAGACRAUGAUACGUAGCCGACCUGAGAGGGUAAUCGGCCACAUUGGGACUGAGACACGGCCCAAACUCCUACGGGAGGCAGCAGUAGGGAAUCUUCCACAAUGGACGAAAGUCUGAUGGAGCAAUGCCGCGUGAGUGAAGAAGGGUUUCGGCUCGUAAAACUCUGUUGUUAAAGAAGAACACCUUUGAGAGUAACUGUUCAAGGGUUGACGGUAUUUAACCAGAAAGCCACGGCUAACUACGUGCCAGCAGCCGCGGUAAUACGUAGGUGGCAAGCGUUGUCCGGAUUUAUUGGGCGUAAAGCGAGCGCAGGCGGUUUUUUAAGUCUGAUGUGAAAGCCUUCGGCUUAACCGGAGAAGUGCAUCGGAAACUGGGAGACUUGAGUGCAGAAGAGGACAGUGGAACUCCAUGUGUAGCGGUGGAAUGCGUAGAUAUAUGGAAGAACACCAGUGGCGAAGGCGGCUGUCUAGUCUGUAACKACGCGAGGYCGAAAGGCRKGG